GCUUCCUCUUACUUAGCGGCGGACGGGUGAGUAACACGUGGGCAACCUGCCUAUGAGACUGGGAUAACUCCGGGAAACCGGGGCUAAUACCGGAUAAUUCUUUUCUACUCAUGUAGAAAAGUUGAAAGAUGGUUUCGGCUAUCACUUAUAGAUGGGCCCGCGGCGCAUUAGCUAGUUGGUGAGGUAACGGCUCACCAAGGCGACGAUGCGUAACCGACCUGAGAGGGUGAUCGGCCACACUGGGACUGAGACACGGCCCAGACUCCUACGGGAGGCAGCAGUAGGGAAUCUUCCGCAAUGGACGAAAGUCUGACGGAGCAACGCCGCGUGAGUGAUGAAGGUUUUCGGAUCGUAAAACUCUGUUGUUAGGGAAGAACAAGUACCGGAGUAACUGCCGGUACCUUGACGGUACCUAACCAGAAAGCCACGGCUAACUACGUGCCAGCAGCCGCGGUAAUACGUAGGUGGCAAGCGUUGUCCGGAAUUAUUGGGCGUAAAGCGCGCGCAGGUGGUCUCUUAAGUCUGAUGUGAAAGCCCCCGGCUCAACCGGGGAGGGUCAUUGGAAACUGGGAGACUUGAGUGCAGGAGAGAAGAGUG
This 597-nucleotide ribosomal RNA is filed under the name uncultured bacterium. Its description in RNAcentral is "bacterial SSU rRNA". It matches the Rfam family "Bacterial small subunit ribosomal RNA", at positions 80 to 663 of the family's 1533-position model. The record is from RNAcentral.